CGAGGAUUCGCCAAGCGGUAAGGCAAGGGCCUUUGACUCCCUCAUCGCCGGUUCGACCCCGGUAUCCUCGA
Molecule: transfer RNA, 71 nt
Filed under: Caudoviricetes sp.
Lineage: Duplodnaviria; Heunggongvirae; Uroviricota; Caudoviricetes
Description: tRNA-Gln
Rfam family: tRNA
About the family: Transfer RNA (tRNA) molecules are approximately 80 nucleotides in length. Their secondary structure includes four short double-helical elements and three loops (D, anti-codon, and T loops).
Source: RNAcentral